UGUUAAACCGGAGGAAGGUGGGGAAGANGUCAAGUCCUCAUGGCCCUUAUGUCUAGGGCUACACACGUGCUACAAUGGUAGUUACAAAGGGAUGCCAAGCCGCAAGGUGGAGCUAAUCCCAUAAAAGCUAUCUAAGUUCAGAUUGAUCUCUGCAACUCGAGAUCAUGAAGUUGGAAUCGCUAGUAAUCGCGGAUCAGAACGCCGCGGUGAAUACGUUACCCGGGCCUUGUACACACCGCCCGUCACACCAUGAAAGUCGGCUG
This 263-nucleotide ribosomal RNA is filed under the name uncultured bacterium. RNAcentral describes it as "partial 16S rRNA". It matches the Rfam family "Bacterial small subunit ribosomal RNA", at positions 1156 to 1417 of the family's 1533-position model. The record is from RNAcentral.